AUACUUCAGGGAUCUUAACCCAAAAGCAUGGAGGUCCACACCAUCCUCCAGGAUACUACAGUUGACAACUGGAUCCCAUCUCCUGUGGAUUCCCUCUCUGCCUAAGAGCAGUCCCCGCUGCAUCCUUGUUAGUCAAGGCGACUGAGGAGAUAGUCAUGGGAUUCCUCCCUGACUGUGUUUUUUCCUCAUGCCAUGGAAGCCGUUUUACACACUCAUCACACUUGGCAUUUUUCUGCUAGCGGACUAACCUCCUAUGAACCUCUUCUACUUACUAUUCAUCAUAUUAUUCAAUCAUGCUGCAAUAACCUUAACCCUGUGGCUCUCUGGACCUCUCCAUCAGAUGAAACACCACAUGGCUGCUUAACUCUGACAGACCAGCUUUUAAUUCCUUGGGAGCAAUUCCUGUGGACAAUGCUGAGUUGUCCUGGUUUACAGAUGGCUCACAUUUAAAGAAUGAGUCUGGCAAGUAUUGUGCAGGCUGUGCAGUCGUGACUUCCUUUGAGAUUGUGAAAGCAGCUCAUUUACUAUUAACUACUUCAGCCCAGCAGGCAGAUCUGUUUGCCCUCGCUUGAGCCUGACUCCUUGCUACAGGAAAGACAAUGUUUAUGUAAGCAGCAGGUGAAUACUUGGCAGGACAACAGGCAGACAAGGAGCAGCCUGGGCUACACCCUCCUCCAUCCAGCUUGGCAGGGAAGGUUGGGGCAGG
This 706-nucleotide long non-coding RNA is filed under the name Homo sapiens (human). RNAcentral describes it as "HSALNT0354766". The record is from RNAcentral. Lineage: Eukaryota; Metazoa; Chordata; Mammalia; Primates; Hominidae.